RNAcentral lists this ribosomal RNA (758 nucleotides) under Sporidiobolales sp. LM535. Its description in RNAcentral is "bacterial SSU rRNA". The stretch from base 1 to 345 matches the Rfam family "Eukaryotic small subunit ribosomal RNA", at positions 1488 to 1831 of the family's 1831-position model. The record is from RNAcentral. Lineage: Eukaryota; Fungi; Basidiomycota; Microbotryomycetes; Sporidiobolales.
CGCACGCGCGCUACACUGACAGAGCCAGCGAGUUCUCUCCUCCACCGGAAGGUGUGGGUAAUCUUGUGAAACUCUGUCGUGAUGGGGAUAGAACAUUGCAAUUAUUGUUCUUCAACGAGGAAUACCUAGUAAGCGUGAUUCAUCAGAUCGCGUUGAUUACGUCCCUGCCCUUUGUACACACCGCCCGUCGCUACUACCGAUUGAAUGGCUUAGUGAGGCCUCCGGAUUGGCUAUUGGGAUCUCGCGAGAGAACCUGACUGCCGAGAAGUUGUACGAACUUGGUCAUUUAGAGGAAGUAAAAGUCGUAACAAGGUUUCCGUAGGUGAACCUGCGGAAGGAUCAUUAGUGAAUUUAGAGCGUAACUUCGGUUAGCUCAACCUUCAUUUUCCAACUCUGUGCACUAUUGGCGGACUGAGAGUAAGCAAUUGCUAUUCAGUCUGCGGCUCACUAUUAAACAUUAGUUAAAGUAUGUAAAUAAAAACAAAACAAAAAAAACUUUCAACAACGGAUCUCUUGGCUCUCGCAUCGAUGAAGAACGCAGCGAAAUGUGAUAAGUAAUGUGAAUUGCAGAAUUCAGUGAAUCAUCGAAUCUUUGAACGCACCUUGCGCUCUCUGGUAUUCCGGAAAGCAUGUCUGUUUGAGUGUCAUGAACUCUUCAACCUACCGGUUUCUAGUAAAUCGGAUUAAUGUUUGGAUUCUGAACGCCUGCUGGCCUUUAUUGGCGAAGCUCGUUCGUAAAUGAUUAGCAUCUCAUAUUC